Molecule: ribosomal RNA, 468 nt
Filed under: uncultured bacterium
Lineage: Bacteria
Description: partial 16S ribosomal RNA
Rfam family: Bacterial small subunit ribosomal RNA
Source: RNAcentral
GACGAACGCUGGCGGCGUGCUUAACACAUGCAAGUCGAACGGAAAGGCCCUGCUUUUGUGGGGUGCUCGAGUGGCGAACGGGUGAGUAACACGGGAGUAACCUGCCCUUGACUUUGGGAUAACUUCAGGAAACUGGGGCUAAUACCGGAUAGGAGCUCCUGCUGCAUGGUGGGGGUUGGAAAGUUUCGGCGGUUGGGGAUGGACUCGCGGCUUAUCAGCUUGUUGGUGGGGUAGUGGCUUACCAAGGCUUUGACGGGUAGCCGGCCUGAGAGGGUGACCGGCCACCUUGGGACUGCGAUACGGCCCAGACUCCUACGGGAGGCAGCAGUGGGGAAUAUUGCACAAUGGGCGGAAGCCUGAUGCAGCAACGCCGCGUGCGGGAUGACGGCCUUCGGGUUGUAAACCGCUUUCGCCUGUGACGAAGCGUGAGUGACGGUAAUGGGUAAAGAAGCACCGGCUAACUACGUG